AGCGAACGCUGGCGGCAGGCCUAACACAUGCAAGUCGAACGAACUCUUCGGAGUUAGUGGCGGACGGGUGAGUAACACGUGGGAACGUGCCUUUAGGUUCGGAAUAACUCAGGGAAACUUGUGCUAAUACCGAAUGUGCCCUUCGGUGGAAAGAUUUAUCGCCUUUAGAGCGGCCCGCGUCUGAUUAGCUAGUUGGUGAGGUAAAGGCUCACCAAGGCGACGAUCAGUAGCUGGUCUGAGAGGAUGAUCAGCCACAUUGGGACUGAGACACGGCCCAAACUCCUACGGGAGGCAGCAGUGGGGAAUCUUGCGCAAUGGGCGAAAGCCUGACGCAGCCAUGCCGCGUGAAUGAUGAAGGUCUUAGGAUUGUAAAAUUCUUUCACCGGGGACGAUAAUGACGGUACCCGGAGAAGAAGCCCCGGCUAACUUCGUG
This 433-nucleotide ribosomal RNA is filed under the name uncultured bacterium. Its description in RNAcentral is "partial 16S ribosomal RNA". It matches the Rfam family "Bacterial small subunit ribosomal RNA", at positions 29 to 507 of the family's 1533-position model. The record is from RNAcentral.